RNAcentral lists this ribosomal RNA (748 nucleotides) under Sordariomycetes sp. Its description in RNAcentral is "eukaryotic LSU rRNA". The stretch from base 309 to 748 matches the Rfam family "Eukaryotic large subunit ribosomal RNA", at positions 1 to 444 of the family's 3401-position model. The record is from RNAcentral. Lineage: Eukaryota; Fungi; Ascomycota; Sordariomycetes.
GGUUCUGGCAUCUAUGAAGAACGCAGCGAAAUGCGAUAAGUAAUGUGAAUUGCAGAAUUCAGUGAAUCAUCGAAUCUUUGAACGCACAUUGCGCCCAUUAGUACUCUAGUGGGCAUGCCUGUUCGAGCGUCAUUACGACCCUUAAGCCUAGCUUAGUAUUGGGAACCUACGUGCGGCAGCUACCCUGUAGCUACCCUGUAGCUCCUUAAAGACAACGGCGGAGACGUGGAGUCCUCUGAGCUUAGUAACUUUUCUAGCUUCUGAAGGCGCCGCGGCCCCUGCCGUAAAACCCCCAACUCUUUAGUGGUUGACCUCGGAUCAGGUAGGAAUACCCGCUGAACUUAAGCAUAUCAAUAAGCGGAGGAAAAGAAACCAACAGGGAUUGCCUUAGUAACGGCGAGUGAAGCGGCAACAGCUCAAAUUUGAAAGCUGGCCUUCGGGUCCGCGUUGUAAUUUGUAGAGGAUGCUUUUGGUUAGGUGCCUUACGAGUUCCCUGGAACGGGACGCCUUAGAGGGUGAGAGCCCCGUACGUUUGGUUACCGAGCCUCUGUAAAGCUCCUUCGACGAGUCGAGUAGUUUGGGAAUGCUGCUCUAAAUGGGAGGUAAAUUUCUUCUAAAGCUAAAUACCGGCCAGAGACCGAUAGCGCACAAGUAGAGUGAUCGAAAGAUGAAAAGCACUUUGAAAAGAGGGUUAAAUAGCACGUGAAAUUGUUGAAAGGGAAGCGUUUAUGACCAGACUUUUUCCUGG